RNAcentral lists this long non-coding RNA (1225 nucleotides) under Lynx pardinus (Iberian lynx). Lineage: Eukaryota; Metazoa; Chordata; Mammalia; Carnivora; Felidae. The record is from RNAcentral.
AUAUUUAUAUUUGAUAAAUCUUUUUUUCAUUUUGAGAACUCAAAAUACCAAACAGUGAACUUGCGUUAUAAAGUCACCCUGUGAUCACCUUGUCAUCUAGUAGCAAAAUGAUGAACUAUUCAUGCAUCAAAGAAAAUUACAUCUGCUGGCCUUGUAUGAAAAUGAUCUCUUGGCAUCCCGAUUAAAUGACAUACUGUCACUGUGGGGAAGAGGAAACAGCCUUCAAUGUAGCGGCGUAGGGUGCGUCUGAGGGAGGCAUGACUGCUGUGUAUUUUCUGCCUCGUUCCAUCUCCUUUCUACGCACAGUGGAGCCUUGUUUAAAGGGGGAUUUGGGGCUGGCUGUUAACUGUCUUUUCGUCCAUUAUCUAAGAACAAUUUCUAAGAUGGAAGGAAGGCGCCAUUUCCUUACCUCUUCACCUCCAUGCCCCCACCAGAUGUAUUCAACCUAAAACCAUUGAGAAGAGAGUGAGACUGACCUUCUUUGUUUUUCCCUUUCUCAUUAGUAGAUAUUAAAUACCCACCAGUUUUUAGCUGGUCUGACUCCACUUAAGGCAUAUGCUGACAAGGUCUUCUCCCUGUCUGUUCAUCCUGCCUACGCCAGUGUGCGGAAGCCUUUAGAGGGCAUGAAAAUGCCACCUUAUAUGGGUCUGUGACUUUAAAGAGCUACGGGCAGGGACUGGGCCUGCUCUAGUCUGUGGAUUUCAGGCAGAAAAUGUAUAUACUUCUUCCAGCUUCCAAGAAUUGGAGUAAAAUGGGGUAGUCUUUUCUGUUUUACUGUAUUACUUGAACCAACAGAUUCAAGAGUAGCAUUUGUUAUUCUCAGGAAUGAUCCCCCUGCUCAUUUUCUUUCUUGGUGUGUUUGAGUUUUUAUUUCAAUUAGGAGAUUAUGUUAUCUUUCUUUCCUUUUAUAUUACUUAGGAAAAAAAAUGUAACAUAUUGUAUCUUCCCAUUCCGGUGAAAUUUUGUCUGCUUAUUCUCAGUUGAAUCAGAAAGAAAAGAGAGGAAAAUAUACUGUCUGACAAGCCACAUCCAUGAUUUAUUGUAAGGAGAUUAUUAUAAUUGAUAGCUUCUUUAUGAUGGGAUUGCUAGUAUCAUUUGUUCUUGCUGGUCUUUUUAAAGAAACAGACUCAAACUGUUAAGACAGCUGCAGUUUCUAAAGAAAUACAGUGAUUGCCAGAGAAGAGCUAAAAGGUUUCAUUGUUUUAAGGCCUUAAGGAAGGAGAAA